GGGAUAGAAGCUCAGUGGGAGAGCACAUGCUUAGCGUGCACGAGGUCCUGGGUUCAAUCCCCAGCACCUCCA
This 72-nucleotide transfer RNA is filed under the name Camelus ferus (Wild Bactrian camel). It matches the Rfam family "tRNA". From Rfam's summary of the family: Transfer RNA (tRNA) molecules are approximately 80 nucleotides in length. Their secondary structure includes four short double-helical elements and three loops (D, anti-codon, and T loops). The record is from Rfam by way of RNAcentral. Lineage: Eukaryota; Metazoa; Chordata; Mammalia; Artiodactyla; Camelidae.